RNAcentral lists this ribosomal RNA (498 nucleotides) under uncultured bacterium. RNAcentral's name for it is "partial 16S ribosomal RNA". It matches the Rfam family "Bacterial small subunit ribosomal RNA", at positions 28 to 507 of the family's 1533-position model. The record is from RNAcentral.
GACGAACGCUGGCGGCGUGCCUAAUACAUGCAAGUCGAGCGGACGGAUGGGAGCUUGCUCCCAGACCGUCAGCGGCGGACGGGUGAGUAACCCGUGGGCAACCUGCCUGUAAGACUGGGAUAACUCCGGGAAACCGGGGCUAAUACCGGAUAACUCUUUCCCUCACAUGAGGGAAAGCUGAAAGAUGGCAUCUCGCUAUCACUUACAGAUGGGCCCGCGGCGCAUUAGCUAGUUGGGGAGGUAACGGCUCACCAAGGCGACGAGGCGUAGCCGACCUGAGAGGGUGAUCGGCCACACUGGGACUGAGACACGGCCCAGACUCCUACGGGAGGCAGCAGUAGGGAAUCUUCCGCAAUGGACGAAAGUCUGACGGAGCAACGCCGCGUGAGUGAUGAAGGUUUUCGGAUCGUAAAACUCUGUUGUCAGGGAAGAACAAGUACCGGAGUAACUGCCGGUACCUUGACGGUACCUGACCAGAAAGCCACGGCUAACUACGUG